RNAcentral lists this ribosomal RNA (759 nucleotides) under uncultured Planctomycetaceae bacterium. RNAcentral describes it as "bacterial SSU rRNA". It matches the Rfam family "Bacterial small subunit ribosomal RNA", at positions 8 to 796 of the family's 1533-position model. Lineage: Bacteria; Pseudomonadati; Planctomycetota; Planctomycetia; Planctomycetales; Planctomycetaceae. The record is from RNAcentral.
AGAGUUUGAUCAUGGCUCAGCCUGAACGCUGGCGGCGUGGCUAAGACAUGCAAGUCGCACGGGGUAGCAAUACCCAGUGGCGAACGGGAGAGUAAUGAAUCGCUAACGUGCCCCGGACUCUGAGAUAGCCAUCCGAAAGGGUGGGUAAUAUCAGAUAAUAUAACUUACAGGCAUCUGUGAGUUCUCAAAGGUCCGCCGGUCUGGGAGCGGGCGAUUUCGUAUCAGCUAGUUGGUGAGGUAACGGCUCACCAAGGCGACGACGCGUAGCCGGACUGAGAGGUUGGCCGGCCUCAUUGGGACUGAGACACUGCCCAGACUCCUACGGGGGGCUGCAGUAACGAAUCUUCCGCAAUGCACGAAAGUGUGACGGAGCGACGCCGCGUGUGGGACGAAGCCCUUCGGGGUGUAAACCACUGUCAGGGGUUACCAAGUUCUGAGGAGCCCCAGAGGAAGGCACGGCUAACUCUGUGCCAGCAGCCGCGGUAAGACAGAGGUGCCAAGCGUUAGGCGGAAUCACUGGGCUUAAAGCGUGUGUAGGCGGAAUUGUAAGUACCUUGUGAAAUCCCACGGCUCAACCGUGGAACUGCUCGGUAUACUGCUUUUCUUGAGCCACUUAGGGGCUGUCGGAACAAACGGUGGAGCGGUGAAAUGCGUAGAUAUCGUUUGGAACGCCAAAGGUGAAAACAGACAGCUGGGAGUGUGCUGACGCUGAGACACGAAAGCCAGGGGAGCGAACGGGAUUAGAUACCCCUGUAGUCC